UACGGGGGGGGCAAGCGUUGUUCGGAAUUACUGGGCGUAAAGGGCUCGUAGGCGGCCAACUAAGUCAGACGUGAAAUCCCUCGGCUUAACCGGGGAACUGCGUCUGAUACUGGUUGGCUUGAAUCCGGGAGAGGGAUGUGGAAUUCCACGUGUAGCGGUGAAAUGCGUAGAGAUGUGGAGGAACACCAGUGGCGAAGGCGACUCUUUGGUCUGUAACUGACGCUGAGGCGCGAAAGCGUGGGGAGCAAACAGG
RNAcentral lists this ribosomal RNA (253 nucleotides) under uncultured bacterium. Its description in RNAcentral is "partial 16S ribosomal RNA". It matches the Rfam family "Bacterial small subunit ribosomal RNA", at positions 524 to 776 of the family's 1533-position model. The record is from RNAcentral.